RNAcentral lists this ribosomal RNA (515 nucleotides) under uncultured bacterium. Its description in RNAcentral is "partial 16S ribosomal RNA". It matches the Rfam family "Bacterial small subunit ribosomal RNA", at positions 28 to 523 of the family's 1533-position model. The record is from RNAcentral.
GACGAACGCUGGCGGCGUGCCUAAUACAUGCAAGUCGAGCGAAUGGAUUAAGAGCUUGCUCUUAUGAAGUUAGCGGCGGACGGGUGAGUAACACGUGGGUAACCUGCCCAUAAGACUGGGAUAACUCCGGGAAACCGGGGCUAAUACCGGAUAACAUUUUGAACCGCAUGGUUCGAAAUUGAAAGGCGGCUUCGGCGGUCACUUAUGGAUGGACCCGCGUCGCAUUAGCUAGUUGGUGAGGUAACGGCUCACCAAGGCAACGAUGCGUAGCCGAGCUGGGAGGGUGAUCGGCCGCACUGGGACCGAGACACGGCCCAGACUCCUACGGGAGGCAGCAGUAGGGAAUCUUCCGCAAUGGACGAAAGUCUGAGGGAGCAACGCCGCGUGAGUGAUGAAGGCUUUCGGGUCGUAAAACUCUGUUGUUAGGGAAGAACAAGUGCUAGUUGAAUAAGCUGGCACCUUGACGGUACCUAACCAGAAAGCCACGGCUAACUACGUGCCAGCCGCCGCAGUAA